Molecule: transfer RNA, 74 nt
Filed under: Chloroflexota bacterium
Lineage: Bacteria; Bacillati; Chloroflexota
Also listed under: 2 other names
Description: tRNA-Val
Rfam family: tRNA
About the family: Transfer RNA (tRNA) molecules are approximately 80 nucleotides in length. Their secondary structure includes four short double-helical elements and three loops (D, anti-codon, and T loops). Further hydrogen bonds mediate the characteristic L-shaped molecular structure. tRNAs have two regions of fundamental functional importance: the anti-codon, which is responsible for specific mRNA codon recognition, and the 3' end, to which the tRNAs corresponding amino acid is attached (by aminoacyl-tRNA synthetases). tRNAs cope with the degeneracy of the genetic code in two manners: having more than one tRNA (with a specific anti-codon) for a particular amino acid; and 'wobble' base-pairing, i.e. permitting non-standard base-pairing at the 3rd anti-codon position.
Source: RNAcentral
GGGCGAUUAGCUCAGUUGGUCAGAGCGCUUCGUUUACACCGAAGAAGUCGGGGGUUCGAGCCCCUCAUCGCCCA